AAGAUGAAGCCCGAGACGGCUCUUGCUUUAGCUAAGAUUGUAUUUGGCAGCGACGAGAGAGAGCUCUUGGACCAAGUGUCAGUGCCUUGCCACGUCAUACAACCAAGAAACGACGUCGUUGUACCUGUCUCCGUCGCUUACUUCAUGCAGGAGAUGAUCAAAGGGGAAUCGACGGUGGACAUUAUUGAGGACGCGAUGGGUCACUUUCCACAAAUGACGUCACAUAUUGAGCUGCUUGGCGUCAUGAAGCGCCUCCUCCAGCUUUGAAGGAUGAAUAUAAUAAAUGAUUUGCGUCGAUAUUCUUCUUGUCUAUAAUAUUGUGUUACUAAGAUUAUGAAGUAUGUCCCUUAGUAGUAGUAUCUCUUUAUGUUUGUGUAAUGUGAGUGUGUAUUUAUUAGUACAACAACGUAAUUUCCAGUAUAAGUUAAAAGAUAAAGAGAUUAUCAUAGUGAGAGUUAAAGGAGGUAACUAAUUAAAUGGCGCAUCACUUCUUUGGGUUAAGUUAAACUGAAUUGCUUUUUUUUUUUGGGUGUAAAUGUUAAAAACUGAAUUGCUUUCUAUUGGAGUAAUCAGUUUACUUUAAACUAGAAUCCUCCGACUACAUAGAUGUUCCUAUGUAAACGUUAACAAGUUGAUGAAUAACAUGCAUAAUCAUUUUCUUGAAUUUCAACGACAUUUCUUUGAUCUUGUUUAUUCUUGUAACCAUUCUUAUAAAUUGUUGUUACACAUAUACACAAGACAAUUGGUGUUCAAAAGAAAAAAAAAACAUACACAAGACAAUUAUUGCGGACGUUGUGGUUUAGCCAUUUUCGAUGUUUGAUUAGGUAAAUUCCUUAUGAGAUGUGUAUCUGCUUUUUCAAAAAAAUGAGAUGUGUAUCUGUUGGAGGCUAAUUACCGGUAGUUCUUAUCGAAUGAUUUUUAACGUUAAAACUCCUCAACUAAGUUUUGUUUUGGGUAAAAACCUUCAAACUAAGUAUUUAACGAAUAAAUCUCAAACUAAUUUUAUUUAAAAAAUUAAACUCUUUCCGGUCAUAAUUACCAUUACUAACGGUAAAUCUUUAGUUUAGGGGUUUCUACAUUAAGUAAACAUAAUUGAAGGGUUUUACCACUAAAAACAAAAAAAAUACAAAAUUUUAUAACAUUAUCUAAAAAUUAGUAACUUAAAUUUUUCAAGAUUAGCAUUUUUAAAAAUUUCUAUAAAUAUAUGAGUUUGAUUUGUUUUUAACAUCAACAUUAUAUAUGUAUAAAUUAAAAAUGUAAAAAACCAGAAAAUAUAAUAAAAAUUAUCUAAAGAUUUAUUAUUACAUUUUUAUUAGAUAAGAUAUAAUUUUUAUAAUAUUUUCUUGUUUUUACAUUUUUAACUUUUAGAUAAUUUUUAUUACAAAUAAAUCCUUAGAUAAUUUUUGUUAUAUUUUCUGGGUAUUUAUAAUUUUAAUUAAUCAUAUAUAAUGUUGAUUUUAAAACAAAUCAGACUCAUAUAUUUAUAGAAAUUUUUCAAAAUGUUAAUUUUGAAAAUUAUAGUUACUAAUUUUUAGAUAAUAUUAUUAUAUUUUGGAUUAUUUUAAAUUUUAAUGGUAAAACCCUUUAACUAUGUUUACUUAAUAUAGAAAUGGUAAUUAUAACCAGUGACGGUUUAAUUAAUUAAAUAAAAUUAGUUUGAAGUUUUUUCGUUAAAUAUUUAGUUUAAGGGUUUUUACCCAAAACAAAUUUAUUUGAGGGGUUCUAACAUUAAAAAUCCUACAAAGAAUAGUUUAUGUUCUAACUAGGGUCGGCCCGCCCUACGGGCGGGAUAUGCUUUACUUGUGAUCUAGAUUAUUAUUUUUUGUAUGAUUUUGUGAUUUGUUUUUUAAGUUUGCAUUUGCAAGAAACGUGUAUGAUAUUCGUCUUUUAGAAAGUUCAAAGUGAGAGAUUUAUUUGUGAUAAGAUAUAUUUUGCUUGUUUACAAUAGUUGUUUCUGUCUUCCAAAAAAAUUAACUUUAUGAUACUAUAUGUUAGUUAAAUUUUAUCUACUUAAUUAAAUUAUUUGUUAUAUAAUGUGUGUUGAAUUGAUGAUAGUAUAUAAAUGUCUUUUAUUUGUAAUUCAGUGAAAACAUCAGAAUAGUGAAGUUUUAAAAAAGAAAGAAAGAUGAAUUCAUUUUUUAAAAGAUGAUUUGUUGAUGUUUAUAUAAAAAAUUUAUAUAUGAAAGUUAUGUUAUUAUUAUUUUAUCGAAUUAAGUUAUAUUUUACAUAUGUCUAAUUCAAGACCAGUAAAAUUUAUUAAUUACUGUGUCUAUUCAUUUGCCGAAUAUUAAUUUAUAGACUUUCUACUAUAUAUAUAUUAUUUAUUUUUUCAUUAUUUUGUGUCGAUAUAAUGAAUCUCCAUGUUAUCAGUUAAAUAUUUUUAUUGCCAAACAUUAUCGACUAAAGCAAUAACUUCACUGAUUGUACAAUUUGUUAACAAAAUAAAUUUGAAACUGAAGCGAACAUAUAAUGGAGUACAAACCAAAACCAGUCUCUAAUUCUAUCAAUUGUCAAUACAUAUAGUACAUUUGUAUAAUGGAGAUCUCAUAUUUUCAUAAUGGUUAUGCAAUAUUUACAUGCACUACAAGAAAACAGCGGUAUUCUGACGGACGUUCCGACGGAAAAUGAAUUCCUCGGAAUAUACCGAGGAAUUUCCGAGGCAAUUCCGAGGAAACCCAAAAUUUGGCUUCCUCGGAAUUUCCUCGGAAUAUACCGACGGAAUUCCGAGGAAAAUUCAUUUCGUCGGAAUAUUCCGACGGAAUACCGAGGAAAAUAGUAUUCCUCGGAAAAAACCGAUGAAUUCCGAGGAAAUAUUAUAGACGUUAGAGAGCCGUUGGAGAGCCGUUGGGGGGAUUUUAAAAAUUCCGAGGAAAUUCCGAGGUUUUUAUCAUUUAAGAUUUAUAUUCAGAUAAUGUUUAAAAUAUUUUUGAAAUUUAAUCAGUAAUAUUUUGUAUAUAUUGUAAUGAAAAUAAAACUAUAUGCAUUAUAAAUAUUUUUGGGCCUUUUUCAAUUUUAUUUAUUAUAUUUAUAAUUUUUUUAUAUAAAAAUAUAGAUUUUUUUAAAAAAUUGGACCCCUUAACUAUUAACAUACGGAGAUAUUAACAUACGGAGGACACGGGCUUGGACCCGAAACGGUCACACCGCUUAUCCCCUCCUCAGCCGGCCCUGGAUGUAUAGUAGACUGAUAUUAAUUUUAGAAUUCUUUUCACAUACCAUAAAUUGGAUACUACUUUUCAGAUACACAUUCAAUAAAAAAAUACCCUAACAUUUAGGUUUAUGGUUUAGUGAGUAUUUAAGGGGUGAGUUGGAUUUAUAAACUUUUUGUUUGACCAAAACAAGUUGGAUUUAUAAGCUUCUAUUAAUAAUUCUUAAGCAUAUAUAAAUGUGUUUGAUCAAAAAAAGCAUUUAUAAAUGAUUUAGAAGAGUUAGUUUAGUUUUUUCAAUCGCAAAUUUAAGAUAUUUAUGAAAAUGAUCAUUUUGUGAAAAUAAAUUAAAAAUGAUAUCAAAUUUUUGGUAUUAACUUCUAAAUUUUAGGAGAAUUAUACGGAAAUAGUGGGCAGAAGGUUUACACGUAUUCAUAGACGAUAGACUUCCACAUGAUUAUGAAUAUUGAUGUUUUGAGCAAAAAAAACAAUGAUGUAAAUAGUUUAUUAGAUUUCUCCGUUGUGAUCAUUUCAUUAGGUAGAGCAUGAUUAACUAAUGAUAAUAUGUAUUAAUUUUAUGUUAGUGUAGUGUAUUUAAAUCAUGUUAAUGACUACACGUCACAAUACUUAAUGGUGCAUUUACAUGUACAAACAAAAGUAGUUCAUGUAAGUUUACUUUCAGUCCAGAUAACUAUACCUUUUUAAUACCAAAAAGUAAGGAUUCGUUUUCAUAUAUGUUUUAUUUAUGCUGAAUAUUGAUUUUUCCUAUAAGAUGCUAUGUAGAUGAACAAUGAAUACAAAUACAGUCAUUGUUGAAAAGGCCAUAAAUGUUGGAUGUACCAAAAUGCGAGCCUAAUAAAAUCGGUGGUUGGAUGUCAAUUAAGAACCAUAUAUAGACCUAAUCCAUUUCUUUUCUCCCUUUAUAUAUAUGCACAAAAGAUACUAAAGCCUUGUCUCAUCUCUAAAAGCACAAUUAUAGUUAAGAAUGGUGGUUAACCAGAAGAUAUCCAGUCUCUCAGCCGCUAUGAACGCCAAGAUCAUCGGUUCUGGUGAGAGGUCAAUGGUAUUGGCGCACGGGUUUGGAGGCGACCAGUCGGUUUGGGACAAGAUAAUACCGGUUCUGUCCCAAUCUUUUAAGGUUUUAGUCUUUGACUGGCUUUUCUCUGGAGCCAUCAAAGACCAAACUCUAUACGAUCCUUCAAAGUAUAAUUCCCUCGACCCCUUCUCUGACGAUCUUAUUGCUCUUAUGGAGGAGUUGAAGUUUGGCCCCGUUGUGUUCGUAGGCCAUUCCAUGUCGGGCAUGAUCGGUUGUGCUGCUUCUAUUAAAAGGCCCGAUUUGUUUACAAAUCUUAUCCCUAUUGCUGCUUCACCCAGGUAACCUCAAUCUAACCCUUCUCCUUAAUUUUAAUUAAAAUUGGAAAAAAAAUAUUUGUAGAAGCAAGCAAAGUCGUAAAACCCAGAGACAUGUGUAAUCUUCUCUCUUGGAUGUAAUAUCACUUAGGACUAUGUUAGAUAUGGCUAAAGUAAGAGAGGUAAAUAAUGCGUAUUUAUCCCGUAAAUAAGAUGAAGCAAAUGACUAACAGUUAUAAUUACGUUCUAAAGAGAAAUAUAGCACAUGCAAUCAUAAUUCAAAAAGACGUUAUACCAUCCCAUCGAUUGUACGAAUAUUCCUGAUGAUUAAGUGUUUCAUGAAAGAAGACGAAAAAUGCCUUUAAAAAUGACGAAAAAUAUGGUUUAUGAUAAUGGUUUUGCCGAUAAUUAAUGGAUUUUAUGUGGCUUGUAUGAAGUUGUAACUGUUGCCAAGUGUUGAGCAUGUGGCCAAGAUCAUCUUCUAGCUUGUUAGAUGGAUAUGACAUAUAUGAUCCUGUCUUAUUUCCCUAUAACCUAUAUCUGCAUGCUACUUUGUCAUGUGUGUAUAGUAGAUUUAUUUAAAUAAACCAAUCAAACAUAAGACAGUAGAUAUGCAUAUACAUUGUGGACCAUUCAUCUUCCAAGCAGCUUAUUCUCCGAUAUAUAGAGUUGUUGAAUUGCGAUCAAUUUCUUGUAUUGUAAAUAAUUUUUAACAACAACAUACAGUUUUUUUUCUAUUAGUGCGUGUCAUCUUACAUAGGGCCAAAAAAUAUUUACUAGUUAUACCGAAAAAAUCUUUACCUAGGGGCUAGGGCCAAUGUUUUAGUUCCAAUUUUAUCAAACAGUAUCCGCGAAAGGAUGAAUUAUCAUUUUGACUGAUAAGAUUUAAUUUGUUUAUUAUAGUUAUAGUUGAGAAAGUCGGCCAUAAAUUAAUGCAACAGCUGAGUGUUUGACUGUAUAUGUCGUCUAAUGGAACGUGCUUAUAUAUAAACAACUUUAAUUAAAUGAUCAAAUUUAGUAUAUAAGUCAGUACUUCAUAGACUGAAAUGGAAAUCAUUAGGUUUAUUUUAAUUUCUACCCAAUUAAAAUUUAUAGGUAUAUAAACAGUGAGGAUUACAGAGGAGGGUUUGAAUCAAAAGACAUUGACACGAUCAUCACCAGCAUUAGCUCCAACUACGAGGCUUGGGCGGUUGCUUUCACCUCCGUAGUGGUUGACUCAAGAGACUCUUUGUCCGUCCAAAGGUUCGAGAAAUGCCUUAAAAAGAUGAAGCCCGAGACGGCUCUUGCUUUAGCUAAGAUUGUAUUUGGCAGCGACGAGAGAGAGCUCUUGGACCAAGUGUCAGUGCCUUGCCACGUCAUACAACCAAGAAACGACGUCGUUGUACCUGUCUCCGUCGCUUACUUCAUGCAGGAGAAGAUCAAAGGGGAAUCGACGGUGGACAUUAUUGAGGACGCGAUGGGUCACUUUCCACAAAUGACGUCACAUAUUGAGCUGCUUGGCGUCAUGAAG
RNAcentral lists this long non-coding RNA (6003 nucleotides) under Brassica napus (rape). RNAcentral's name for it is "long non-coding RNA (BNAP_LNC004768)". Lineage: Eukaryota; Viridiplantae; Streptophyta; Magnoliopsida; Brassicales; Brassicaceae. The record is from RNAcentral.